AACGAACGCUGGCGGCAUGCCUAACACAUGCAAGUCGAACGAGACCUUCGGGUCUAGUGGCGUACGGGUGCGUAACGCGUGGGAACCUGCCCUUAGGUUCGGAAUAACUUCCCGAAAGGGGUGCUAAUACGAGAUAAUGUCUUCUGACCAAAGAUUUAUCGCCUUUGGUUGGGCCCGCGUUGGAUUAGCUAGUUGGUAGGGUAAAAGCCUACCAAGGCGACGUUCCAUAGCUGGUAUGAGAGGAUGAUCAGCCAUACUGGGACUGAGACACGGCCCAGACUCCUACGGGAGGCAGCAGUGGGGACUAUUGGACACUGGACGAGAGCCUGAUCCAGCAAUGCCGCGUGAGUGAUGAAGGCCUUAGGGUUGUAAAGCUCUUUUACCCGGGAUGAUAAUGACAGUACCGGGAGAAUAAGCUCCGGCUAACUACGUG
Molecule: ribosomal RNA, 433 nt
Filed under: uncultured bacterium
Lineage: Bacteria
Description: partial 16S ribosomal RNA
Rfam family: Bacterial small subunit ribosomal RNA
Source: RNAcentral